RNAcentral lists this ribosomal RNA (458 nucleotides) under uncultured bacterium. RNAcentral describes it as "partial 16S ribosomal RNA". It matches the Rfam family "Bacterial small subunit ribosomal RNA", at positions 338 to 795 of the family's 1533-position model. The record is from RNAcentral.
CCUACGGGUGGCAGCAGUGAGGAAUAUUGGUCAAUGGGCGAGAGCCUGAACCAGCCAAGUCGCGUGAGGGAGUACUGCCCUAUGGGUUGUAAACCUCUUUUGUCGGGGAGCAAAAGCCGGACGUGUCCGGCUGUGAGAGUACCCGAAGAAAAAGCAUCGGCUAACUCCGUGCCAGCAGCCGCGGUAAUACGGAGGAUGCGAGCGGUAUCCGGAUUUAUUGGGUUUAAAGGGUGCGCAGGCGGAUUUUUAAGUCAGCGGUAAAAUCGUGGGGCUCAACCCCAUCCAGCCGUUGAAACUGGGGAUCUAGAGUGUGCGAGAGGUAUGCGGAAUGCGUGGUGUAGCGGUGAAAUGCAUAGAUAUCACGCAGAACCCCGAUUGCGAAGGCAGCAUACCGGUGCACAACUGACGCUCAGGCACGAAAGCGUGGGUAUCGAACAGGAUUAGAUACCCGUGUAGUC